Long non-coding RNA from Glossina fuscipes, 1155 nucleotides. RefSeq lists it as uncharacterized. Lineage: Eukaryota; Metazoa; Arthropoda; Insecta; Diptera; Glossinidae. The record is from RefSeq and is a predicted model, not a curated record. The transcript is spliced from 4 exons.
UCAAUCAACAUAGGUGACAUCGUGUUAGUUUCUGAUAGGAAGUCCAACCAAGUACACCGGGGAGAGAUUGUUGGCUUCGAUGAUGCAUUCGAGGUGCUUAACGUUGAUAGUGGCAGCAAAGAGUCGGUAAAACGAAAUCUUUUACGCAAACCUUCCAUGCUAUUGCGGUAGUUGCCGGCGUGUUGCUUUUUGAAAAAUCUCUUGCUAAUAGCCCGAUUAAUUAGUUUCUUUGGAUAGCUGCAUGAAAAAUCCUACUGAGUUUUACAUAACGUACAACGACAGUAAUAGCAUCGACUUAUCAUUUCAAACCUUUGAAAGGAAAUCGAUAUGCAAAGGAUUAUUACUAAUGUUAUUUAAGUUACCGAAAAGUCACAUACUCCUGCAACUCAGUCAAAGUAUUUGGAUUCGGUUGUGACUGCUUCAUCGUCAUUUGAGAGUACAUCUUUGAGACGAUCUCUUCCGAUAUCCUUAAAGAGAGAAUGGAAUCGCUAAAGAUUGGGAACCACGAACAAGGCCAAUAAGUUGGAAGGAUCCAGUCGUACGUGAAGUUCGACGUAAUUCGAAGAUUAUACAGAGUGUUUGCAACGAAUCCACUUUUCCACGUAGGAAAUACAAUACAGAGGGAUAUUUUAGAUUUAUGGAAUGAAUGCAAUGGAAAAGCAUGCAGGAAAUGCCUCAAGGAUCGUAAGAAGAGCAGUCGAUUUAACCAUGUUUGUCCGUUCAUUUGUCAAUCUGCUGUAUCAUAAAGUCUAGUUGCGUUUCUUAAUGCCAGUAGGUCAAGUAUUUCCUUAUUCAAGGUUGUUUUUUCAACGUUAACUCAUGCGUGGGAUGUCUUGGAUUGAAACAGCGUAACACCGGGAAAACAUAUUAGGAAAAUGGAAAUCUGUUUGGCUCUCUACGAUGAGGAUGACCAAUGGUAUCGGGCUUUGUUUUUGGCCUACUUAAAGAAUGGCACCGUUUUGGUCCAUUAUUUCGAUUAUGGCAAUGUAUCAAAAAACAUGUCAAAAGAAUUAAUAUUCCCUCUGUACGCCCAUCAAAUUUACAUUGAUGAUUGUAAGUAUCUAAACGUACAUACGAAACCCACCAAAAAUAAAAUACUUCUGUCAUUUUGAUGGUUUAGGCAUAAAAUCUGAUGAACGUGCCGUUACUUUUGCA